This 1525-nucleotide long non-coding RNA is filed under the name Lonchura striata (white-rumped munia). RNAcentral describes it as "domestica (Bengalese finch) lncRNA (ENSLSDG00000012105.1)". Lineage: Eukaryota; Metazoa; Chordata; Aves; Passeriformes; Estrildidae. The record is from RNAcentral.
GCCGGCGCGCGCGGCGCGCAGGCGCGGCGGCCGCGGCGUCGCCGGCGCCAUUUUGUGCGCGGCUCUUUCCCAUUUUAGGCCGCGGGGAGAGGGAGGAGCGGGAGCUGCCGUGGGAUCGGCGGAAGGAACGGCCGGGAGGCUCAUCCUGAGGUCCGCUGAGGCGGCACCGCGUCUCUUCCCGGCUGUAUGAUCCCGUCGCUGCGUCUUGGUGGCGGCCGCGCUUGAGGCGGCGCCGGCGCAGGAGCGGGCCCGGCCGGAGGCGGAAGUGGAGCGGCCGCCAUGGAGGCGCCGGGACCGCCCGCCGUGAGGGCGCGGAGCCGGCGGGGCGGCCCGAGCGCCCCGCAGAGACACGCCCGGGGUGCAGCUCUGAAACUUGGAGCCAUCCUGGCUGUACUGGAUCUUUGCACUGUGCCCCAUCCCCCUGUGCAAACCCUUACAGGAAAACUGGGAAUGAGUGGAAGAAAUGAGCAGAGAAGGUCAAUUUGGUGAGCCUUUUUAUCAUGGCCUGGUGUGUUAACUGCACAGAGUUAACAGCUGAGAAGCUCUAGAGUGGGACAAUCACAGUAAGUCCUUUUAUGAUCUAAUCUCUCUGUAAACAGACAUGCUGUGAGAUAGAAACAUUUCAUUUUUUAGAUCAUUGUUCAGAGCAGCAGUACUUGGUUAUCUGUACUUCGUUAGUACCAAAGGUCUUGUGGGUGCAGCAUGGGAGAUUUGCCUGGGGAGAUGCAUUUGAGCAAAUUAAAGACUUCUUAAUUUAAAAACAGUUAAAAGCAUUAAGGCAGAAGGACAACACUGAUCAUUGGUCACCUGGAAUUCUAAGUGAUGGCUGUAAGUAAAUUAGUAAAAAUAAUACACUUAAGCACUUGAAAAUGUGUUUGGUGUAUUAGUUGCAGAAUAUACUUAUCCCAGAAAUCUUGCCCAAAGUCUUCCAUACAUAUAGCACUUGAUAAGAAAAAGCAAAUUUAGGAAUGUCUGUAUCUUAUAGUUCUCUUUAUAAGAACAGCAGAACAAGUAACUGUUGAUGUAUCACGUGGCUUCCUUCAGAUCACAGCUAAAGAAGAUUUCUGGGAUAAGUGAGAUGGUUUUAUUCUGUUCAGUAAUCACAUACUGCUCUUGACAUACUGGAUUUUUUUAUAGAUAAAAGAACUCAGAAUACACAUACAAUUGCAGCCAAAAUACUGUAGAAACAUUAAAAAUAUUGGAUCUUAGUUUAACACUGAGCUUCUUUCUAUGUAGUGAAGCAAAGUGCUACUCUGUCAUACUUUGCAGUUCUUCAGGAGACUUAGCUUUUAUUUCUGCUUCCAUUGUUCUUUUUUUAAUGUUCUUCCUUUUGGUGUUUCUGUAGUUAAAUAGGCAACACUUCUGCAGAUCCUCUGUCUAUGUGGAACUGCAGUAUUUCUGUACAAAUUAAGGUCACAAAGCUUUAUUAUCUAAAUGAUUGCAAACUGCUCAGAAGAGCAUGGCAACAAGCUAUGAAGUGCAGGCACAAAGAGAAAAAAUCCCAAUAAAUGUGAAGUUGACAGCA